Oncorhynchus mykiss (rainbow trout) is the source of this 2057-nucleotide long non-coding RNA. NCBI's taxonomy places the organism in Eukaryota, Metazoa, Chordata, Actinopteri, Salmoniformes, Salmonidae. The record is from Ensembl.
CCCAUCCCACUCAACAAACAAACACAGCAGGGUGAGCCCGUUUUUACACAGGGUGUGUGUGUGUGUGUGUGUGUGUGUGUGUGUGUGUGUGUGUGUGUGUGUGUGUGUGUGUGUGUGUGUGUGUGUGUGUGUGUGUGUGCCUGCGUGCAGAGCGUGUCAAUGCGGAGACGCACUAAUGAACCGUUAACGUUGAACAGACUACUAAUUACCAUCACAGAGUCGCAGGUCGCUGUACGUGCAUGCCCAGUGUUUCCCAUACAUGCAUUUAGCAGUGGCGCACCGCCGCAGCAAAUCGUUUUCGGGAUAGUAAAACAUGAUAUCAAGUAUGUAGAAAAGACAAUGAAACAAUAUAUUUUUUAAACAAAAUAUCAUCUUUGAGAAAUAACAAUCAGUAAAAUAACAAAUAUUUAGGGAGAAUCUGAAAUUCCCAAAAUGUCAAGUCGGCGUUGAUUUUGUUAGAACGUUUGAGUCACCAGGACAAUAACAAGGCAUAAGCCACGGCAAAAUGUGUAGAAUUAUAGGAAACUAGCUUUAAAACCGUAAAAUAUUCUCUCUGCCCCAUGGCAAAAUGUGUAGAAUUAUAGGAAACUAGCUUUAAAACAGUAAAAUAUUCUCUCUGCCCCAUGGUAAAAUGUGUAAUGUGAAAAGUUGAAAAGUUAAAGGAAACACAGUGGUCAGAUACAGGAAGAGAGAGAGGAGAGAAACACAGUGGUCAGAGACAGGAAGAGAGAGAGGAGAGAAACACAGUGGUCAGAGACAGGAAGAGAGAGAGGAGAGAAACACAGUGGUCAGAGACAGGAAGAGAGAGAGGAGAGAAACACAGUGGUCAGAGACAGGAAGAGAGAGGAGAGAAACACAGUGGUCAGAGACAGGAAGAGAGAGAGAGGAGAGAAACACAGUGGUCAGAGACAGGAAGAGAGAGAGAGGAGAGAAACACAGUGGUCAGAGACAGGAAGAGAGAGAGAGGAGAGAAACACAGUGGUCAGAGACAGGAAGAGAGAGAGAGGAGAGAAACACAGUGGUCAGAGACAGGAAGAGAGAGGAGAGAAACACAGUGGUCAGAGACAGGAAGAGAGAGAGAGGAGAGAAACACAGUGGUCAGAGACAGGAAGAGAGAGGAGAGAAACACAGUGGUCAGAGACAGGAAGAGAGAGAGAGGAGAGAAACACAGUGGUCAGAGACAGGAAGAGAGAGGAGAGAAACACAGUGGUCAGAGACAGGAAGAGAGAGAGGAGAGAAACACAGCGGUCAGAGACAGGAAGAGAGAGAGGAGAGAAACACAGUGGUCAGAGACAGGAAGAGAGAGGAGAGAAACACAGUGGUCAGAGACAGGAAGAGAGAGAGGAGAGAAACACAGUGGUCAGAGACAGGAAGAGAGAGAGGAGAGAAACACAGUGGUCAGAGACAGGAAGAGAGAGAGAGGAGAGAAAAACAGUGGUCAGAGACAGGAAGAGAGAGGAGAGAAACACAGUGGUCAGAGACAGGAAGAGAGAGGAGAGAAACACAGUGGUCAGAGACAGGAAGAGAGAGGAGAGAAACACAGUGGUCAGAGACAGGAAGAGAGAGAGGAGAGAAACACUGUGGUCAGAGACAGGAAGAGAGAGAGAGGAGAGAAACACAGUGGUCAGAGACAGGAAGAGAGAGGAGAGAAACACUGUGGUCAGAGACAGGAAGAGAGAGGAGAGAAACACAGUGGUCAGAGACAGGAAGAGAGAGAGGAGAGAAACAGAAGAGGGGACAUGUGUAUAACAACUGUGUGUGUGUUCGUGUGUGUGUGUGUGUGUGUGUGUGUGUGUGUGUGUGUGUGUGUGUGUGUGUGUGUGUGUGUCCCUGCUCCAUGUCUCUUGGCUGAACGGCUCCUCUCUAUUUUUAGACCUCCUUCCUGUUUCAGUGGGACAUACCAACACCCCACCAAAGGAAGGGGGGGAUGAGAGAGAGAGAGACACACACACAAAGACAGAGAGAGAGAGACAGAGAAGAGGAAGUGAGAGGGGGAGGUGAGAAGAGAAGACUGGUCGUAUUCCUUCCUUGGUAAAUCAACAGCCCCCCCUCCUCUC